RNAcentral lists this ribosomal RNA (251 nucleotides) under uncultured prokaryote. RNAcentral's name for it is "partial 16S rRNA". It matches the Rfam family "Bacterial small subunit ribosomal RNA", at positions 525 to 775 of the family's 1533-position model. The record is from RNAcentral.
ACAGAGGGGUCCCGCGGUAGGAGGAAUGAAGGGGCGUAAAGGGCGCGUAGGCGGUGAUUUAAGUGAGAUGUGCAAUCCCCGGGCUUAACCUGGGAACUGCAUCUCAGACUGGGUCGCUAGAGUGCUGGAGAGGGUGGUGGAAUUCCACGUGUAGCGGUGAAAUGCGUAGAGAUGUGGAGGAACACCAGUGGCGAAGGCGGCCACCUGGACAGUAACUGACGCUGAGGCGCGAAAGUGUGGGGAGCAAACAG